This 509-nucleotide ribosomal RNA is filed under the name uncultured bacterium. Its description in RNAcentral is "bacterial SSU rRNA". It matches the Rfam family "Bacterial small subunit ribosomal RNA", at positions 28 to 583 of the family's 1533-position model. The record is from RNAcentral.
AACGAACGCUGGCGGCAUGCCUAACACAUGCAAGUCGAACGAGACCUUCGGGUCUAGUGGCGCACGGGUGCGUAACGCGUGGGAACCUGCCUUUAGGUUCGGAAUAACUCCCCGAAAGGGGUGCUAAUACCGGAUGAUGUCUUCGGACCAAAGAUUUAUCGCCUUUAGAUGGGCCCGCGUAAGAUUAGGUAGUUGGUGGGGUAAAGGCCUACCAAGCCGACGAUCUUUAGCUGGUCUGAGAGGAUGAUCAGCCACACUGGGACUGAGACACGGCCCAGACUCCUACGGGAGGCAGCAGUGGGGAAUAUUGGACAAUGGGCGAAAGCCUGAUCCAGCAAUGCCGCGUGAGUGAUGAAGGCCUUAGGGUUGUAAAGCUCUUUUACCAGGGAUGAUAAUGACAGUACCUGGAGAAUAAGCUCCGGCUAACUCCGUGCCAGCAGCCGCGGUAAUACGGAGGGAGCUAGCGUUGUUCGGAAUUACUGGGCGUAAAGCGCACGUAGGCGGCGAUU